Molecule: non-coding RNA, 957 nt
Filed under: Pongo abelii (Sumatran orangutan)
Lineage: Eukaryota; Metazoa; Chordata; Mammalia; Primates; Hominidae
Source: RNAcentral
UUUUUUUCUUUUUCUUUUUCUUUUUUCAUUUCCCAGAUACAGCUGAUCGAGUUCGCCAAGUGGCCGAGCGAGUGAGCGCUCCUCCGACUUGGGUGGAGGAAGAUGGCAAGCAUUUCCUAAAGAAACGGCCAGUCAGACCAAUGAAACCACAGGACAAAAAGUUCUCUUCAAAAGAGAACAACAAGAAGGAAAAAAAAAAUAAGAAGACAACAUUCCUAGUGAUCUUUCCGUGGGAAUGCGGCAAAGAGGCAGCAGGCAUAGUGAAAAUGGGCGGCGAUGGAUACUCCCAGCACUUGCUGAGCACUGCUACACCUCAGGACUGGGACAGAGAGAACCAUUCUCUGCUUUCAAUAGGACAGAAGAGCUCCUUGGCACUGGAUGCCUCCGGGUCUGGUUGAGAGAGGAAUGGUUAGGAGAUUGUUCUGAGGAUAUGCAGACAUCAUCCAAAGCUUCCUACAUUCAGAUGAGGACAGAGGUUGGGCUAGAGCUUUGUAUGCUUGUUACCUAAGUAUGGUUCUGACCAUGUAAGCAGAUCACAGAAGCACUGUUCACAAUAGCAAAGUCUUGGAACCAAUCCAAAUGCCCAUCAAUGAAAACCUGGAUAAAGAAAAUGUGGCACAUACACAGCAUGGAAUACUAUGCAUCCAUAAAAAAGGAUGAGUUCAUGUCCCUUGCAGGGACAUGGAUGAAGCUGGAAAACAUCAUUCUCAGCAAACUAACCUGGAGGCAAAUAAUGCCAAGAUGGGAAAGCCACAUAAUGGAAGGAUCCCAGAUUUCAGAGCUGUCACUUGGAGGAGGGGCACACAGUGAAGGUGUCUAUCUAACCCACACCAUAUCUUCAUGAAGUGGCCAUAUGGAUUUGAUCCCUAUCCUUCAGAGGUGCUCAGCCUAAGGGAACAUGGGUAGAAGAUUAAGCACUGACCAGAGCCAGCCUUGACAAUGUGCUGAUGGCAACCU